GUUUCUGUAGUUGAAUACAACGGGGGUUUUUC
This 32-nucleotide transfer RNA is filed under the name Atherina boyeri (big-scale sand smelt). RNAcentral describes it as "partial tRNA-Glu". The record is from RNAcentral. Lineage: Eukaryota; Metazoa; Chordata; Actinopteri; Atheriniformes; Atherinidae.